This 1959-nucleotide long non-coding RNA is filed under the name Hordeum vulgare. RNAcentral's name for it is "long non-coding RNA (HVUL_LNC018801)". The record is from RNAcentral. Lineage: Eukaryota; Viridiplantae; Streptophyta; Magnoliopsida; Poales; Poaceae.
GUGUUGCAAGUCUAUUCAGAAUAGAGGGUGAAUCAAGUAUAGAGCUAGAUGGCACUUCCUUACCUCCCCUCGUCUUAGAGGUAACAAUCUUGGUUCUUGGAUCUCUCAUAUUCUUCAUAGUGAUCAAUAAAUAGAUAUCCUAAGUGAUUCAGCAAAUAUAGCUAUGCUCCCCGACAAAAGCGCCAGAAAAUGUUCUUGAUAACCCACAAGUAUAUGGGAUUGGAAUAGUUUUCAGUGGUAGAGUAUUCAACCCUAAUUUAUAGAUUCGACACAAGGGGAGUCAAAGAAUAUUUGCAGGUAUUAGCAGCUGAGUUGUCAACUCAACCACACUUGAAGAUUUAGUAUUUGCAGCACAGUGAUCAGUAGCAUAGUAAUAAGAUAGUUUUGAUACAAGUGGUAACAGUUGCACUACAAGAAAUAUGUCAACUAACGACCUUCAAUAUUGGUCACCGAAUGGUCAUUGAUUUCCAUUUGCGACCUUUUUAGACCAAAAACAAACGGUCAAAAGCUGAGGGUCUCUAAUGAACUAUAACGACCUUUUUGAUGGAUUGGUCGUAGGAUUUUACGACCAAAGGAAAGCAUUGAAAUAAUUUUGGUCACUAGCAAUCUGCCCACGCCACGUCGGAUCUGACAUGGCAAGCUGACGUGGCAUAGAAUUAGCCCGGUCCAAUUUGGUGUUUUAAAUGGGCCGAGCCCAUUAAUCCAGCCCAUUUAAUGUUUUUUUCUCUUUAUUGUGCUUAGCUGCAUGGGCCUGUCCCAAUAAUCCCCAACAUUUUAGCCGUUUUUAUUUUGGGUUGUGGCCUUUUACUUUCUAUUGAUUUCUUUUUUGUUCAUUUUAUUUUUGUACUGGUCCCACUAGUCACAUUGGUCCCACAUGUCAUGCUGAUCUCAUAAUUCGCAUCGACACCAUAAAUUUUGUAAUUUGUCAGACAAUUUGUGAGGUUUCCAUUUCAUAGGUAUACAAAUCACAUACGAAAUCAAUAUUUUGAACAGAUCACAGAACAAAUGAAAUUCGUCCAAAAAACACUAAAUUAGUCUAUUACAAUCUUUACACUACUACAACUCAAAUAUGCCUACUACACCCUACUAUCACAAUACAUGAUAUGCUACUCUUUGCAUAUAGGCUUCACGACCUAUGCUUCACGACCUCACGCUUGGCUUCACAUUUCAAUAUUAGUCUAUUACAAACUUUAAAGUUUAUUACAAUAUUAAAAUAUUACAAUUUUUACCAUCUAUUAUAGUCAAAUAGAAUAAACAACUCUUUGCUGGAUAGGGCUUCACGACUUUGCACUUUUGUUCACGUUUUCACACUUCCCAAACAUCUCAGGCGUGGAGCUCCUCUAAAAGAGGAACCAGCUAAAAAAGUUACAUGCAACAUUAUUUGCUAUAGAUCAGCUUGCUGCAUAUUAAUCUAACGCUGCCUUCUACUUGCAGACUAGAAGUGUCCCAUCAUAUUCUAAACACUACAAUCAACACCAUGGCAGUAACAAAUUAACAGUAACAUGGCAUCAAUGGGGCACAACUUAGUUAGCUACUAAUGUUCAUCAAAUUUAAAGAUUGUAUGCUCUAGCUAAAAAAAAUAUAAUACCAUGCUUAGGAACUCAGAACGAGAAAAGUAUGUGCCGCUUAAGAGAUACCAAAAUCGAUACUGAUCAAGGAUAAAAACAUGUAGAUAUCAUAUAAUUCCCAUCACAAUCAUAGGCCCUGUUUGGAUACUCUAACUUGGCUAGAGGUUAGAGUUAGUUUCUAACUUUAGUCUAACCAUGAACUAACUCUAGCCUUUGGUGGUGUUUGGAUGCAAAGGUUAGUUUGACAAUAAAUGCAUUUUUUUCAAUCAUGUGUAUUUUUUAACCAGGAUUUGUUGUGCCCAGCUUUUGUGUAGGCCUGGUGCGGCCGGCGGGGCGAGCAAGGCGAGCGCGGCCGGGCGAGGCGAGCGCGGCCGGGCGGGGCGAGCAAGGC